This 825-nucleotide ribosomal RNA is filed under the name Staphylococcus lugdunensis. Its description in RNAcentral is "bacterial SSU rRNA". It matches the Rfam family "Bacterial small subunit ribosomal RNA", at positions 612 to 1435 of the family's 1533-position model. The record is from RNAcentral. Lineage: Bacteria; Bacillati; Bacillota; Bacilli; Caryophanales; Staphylococcaceae.
ACCGUGGAGGGUCAUUGGAAACUGGAAAACUGGAGUGCAGAAGAGGAAAGUGAAAUUCCAUGUGUAGCGGUGAAAUGCGCAGAGAUAUGGAGGAACACCAGUGGCGAAGGCGACUUUCUGGUCUGUAACUGACGCUGAUGUGCGAAAGCGUGGGGAUCAAACAGGAUUAGAUACCCUGGUAGUCCACGCCGUAAACGAUGAGUGCUAAGUGUUAGGGGGUUUCCGCCCUUUAGUGCUGCAGCUAACGCAUUAAGCACUCCGCCUGGGGAGUACGACCGCAAGGUUGAAACUCAAAGGAAUUGACGGGGACCCGCACAAGCGGUGGAGCAUGUGGUCUAAUUCGAAGCAACGCGAAGAACCUUACCAAAUCUUGACAUCCUUUGACCGCUCUAGAGAUAGAGUCUUCCCCUUCGGGGGACAAAGUGACAGGUGGUGCAUGGUCGUCGUCAGCUCGUGUCGUGAGAUGUUGGGUUAAGUCCCGCAACGAGCGCAACCCUUAAGCUUAGUUGCCAUCAUUUAGUUGGGCACUCUAAGUUGACUGCCGGUGACAAACCGGAGGAAGGUGGGGAUGACGUCAAAUCAUCAUGCCCCUUAUGAUUUGGGCUACACACGUGCUACAAUGGACAAUACAAAGGGCAGCGAAACCGCGAGGUCAAGCAAAUCCCAUAAAGUUGUUCUCAGUUCGGAUUGUAGUCUGCAACUCGACUACAUGAAGCUGGAAUCGCUAGUAAUCGUAGAUCAGCAUGCUACGGUGAAUACGUUCCCGGGUCUUGUACACACCGCCCGUCACACCACGAGAGUUUGUAACACCCGAAGCCGGUGGAG